UACGGAGGGGGCGAGCGUUAUUCGGAAUUAUUGGGCGUAAAGGGCGCGUAGGCGGCCCGGUAAGUCAAAGGUGAAAUCCCUCGGCUCAAUUGAGGAACUGCCUUUGAAACUGUCGGGCUUGAGGCCGGGAGGGGGUAGCGGAAUUCCCAGUGUAGCGGUGAAAUGCGUAGAUACUGGGAGGAACACCAGUGGCGAAGGCGGCGAUCUGGGUCGAUACUGACGCUGAGGUGCGAAAGCGUGGGGAGCAAACAGGG
Molecule: ribosomal RNA, 254 nt
Filed under: uncultured bacterium
Lineage: Bacteria
Description: partial 16S ribosomal RNA
Rfam family: Bacterial small subunit ribosomal RNA
Source: RNAcentral